Molecule: ribosomal RNA, 636 nt
Filed under: uncultured archaeon
Lineage: Archaea
Description: bacterial SSU rRNA
Rfam family: Archaeal small subunit ribosomal RNA
Source: RNAcentral
GGAUGGGACUAAGACAUGCUAGUUGAGCGCCUCUAGCUAUGGUGAGGCGCGGCUUACAGCUCAGUAACACGUGGCUAACCUGCCCUUGGGACAGAGACAACCCCGGGAAACUGGGGCUAAUAUCCGAUAAGUGAGGAACUCUGGAAUGGUUUCUUGCUGAAAGGGUUUCUAAAACAUGCUUUUACACGUCGCCCAAGGAGGGGGCCGCGGCCGAUCAGGUUGUUGGUGGGGUAAAGGCUCACCAAGCCUUUGACCGGUACGGGCCGUGGGAGCGGGAGCCCGGAGAUGGGCACUGAGAUAAGGGCCCAGGCCCUACGGGGCGCAGCAGUCGCGAAACCUCCACAAUUCACGAAAGUGUGAUGGGGCUAACCCGAGUGCCGUCCGAUAAGGAUGGCUUUUCCCCAGUGUAAGGAUCUGGGGGAAUAAGGAGAGGGCAAGACUGGUGUCAGCCGCCGCGGUAAUACCAGCUCUCCGAGUGGUGGGGACGCUUAUUGGGCCUAAAGCAUUCGUAGCCGGCUGGGCAAGUCCUCCGUAUAAUCCAACGAUUCAAUCGUUGGCCUGCAGGUGAUACUGUCUGGCUAGGAGGCGGUAGAGGCCGACGGUAUCUCCGGGGUAGGGGUGACAUCCUAUAAUCCC